Molecule: non-coding RNA, 107 nt
Organism: Nelumbo nucifera (sacred lotus)
Lineage: Eukaryota; Viridiplantae; Streptophyta; Magnoliopsida; Proteales; Nelumbonaceae
Source: Rfam
AAGCCAUGGUGAGAGCAGCUUCUCUGCAAAUCCUUAAAUCUUUCCCAAGCCUCAUACAAUGAUUCAUUCUCAAAUUGCUGGAAGGUAAUGAUGUCUUUGAUGAUCUU